GAAAACAUCUUUCGUGACGCUCUGAAAGAUUUCAGAGUUUCGGAGGAUGGCCUGAUUUCAGGCUAUUGUAAUUCGUUGGAGGAGGUGGAAACACUUCUCGAUCAGCUGAAAACUGUGGGGUUUUCAUACUGCGUGAGAAGUAGUCGUUUUAAAGAGCCUUCUUCAGAUGUUAUGAAAAGUAAAACAAAGCAUUUCUUCAAGCAAAUGCAGGGACAUGUCCCUAUCCCCUUUUUUGGUUGUGCAUUCGCAGUGGAGAGUGUGUGGUCGAGGCACUGUGUUUUGGGGCCAAAAUACUAUAAAAGUAAAGAGUCUAGUGUACCUGAGCACUUGGAAGACCAUGUGACUCCUCGUAAGAGAUUGAGGAUCAUGGAUACUAGAAAAUCCAACUGCCCAGCAAUUUUAAAUAUGAAGUGUAUAAGGGUGUAUCCUGAUUACAGUAUGCACUCAGCAACUGAACACAGGGAUACCAAGGCAAAAGUUCUUGCAAGUCUACAGAAAGAUUUGGCAUUGCCAUGCCCGCCUAAGAGCUAUCUACGUUAUUAUUUGACUGCUUCCCCAGCAAGUACACACACACACAUGCUACUGAAAGUGUUGAAGCAAGUGGGUACAUACAUCCUUCACUUGUAAAGGAAUUCAAAAACUUAGUACUCAGUGGCAUGACAUCUCUCAAAGUCAUUAAGUUGGCUCUAGACAGAUUUGUUGAAAUCAAUUUCACUGGGACACACAUACCAGGUCAAAUGAAUACUACCUUUUACCCCACAGAGAAAACUAUUUACAGUCACAUUUAUCGGACCCUUUAUGGUACAAAUAAAGUAUUGUUUGACGAGACUAGACUGCAGAAUCAGGUUGAUGAGUGGCACAAAGACUCGAGCAAUCACAUGAUUUAUUAUAGACAUUGUACGGGAGCCAAUGGAGAAGUGAAACCAUUACUUUUUUGCUAUCAGAGCAGUUGGCAGAGAGAUCUUUUGAAGAAGUAUGGGGGUAGUUGUUUGUUAGAUGCAACAUACAAAACAACAACAUAUGAUAUUCCUUUAUUUUUUAUAGCUGUGAAGAGUAAUGUGGGCUAUUUGGUUGUCGGUUUUUUUUUUUCAUUCAGAUUGAAAAUGCAAGAUCCAUUCAUGAAGCACUAGACAUUUUCAAGGACUGGAACAAGGAUUGGAAUCCCCUCUAUUGGGUUACUGAUUUCUCGGAGUCAGAGAUAAAUGCAAUUGAGCAAGCAUUCCCUCAGACAAAAGUUUACUUGUGCCUUUUCCAUCGAAAACAGGCAUGGGGAAGAUGGUUGAAAAAAAAGGAUAAUCUACGUGUACCAAAUGACAUGAAGACAUUUCUGGAUAUGUGGCAAGAAAUUUCAGAAUCACCAACAGAGAGAGAAUUUAGAGAUCGCGUAGAAGAGUUGCGAACGCAUGAGGUUUCUCGGAGAAACGAGCGUGCAUGGCCAUACUUUCAACAGCAAUGGCUAACGGUAUGUGAAAGAUGGGUGAAAGCGUAUGAGGACAAGGGCAGAUUUGCAACUAUUGACACUACAAAUGGAGUUGAAGCCAUGAACAAGGUUGUAAAACAUUUUUUCCUCAAACACAAUUCAGACAGGACUUUAACUGGGGUUACUAAGGUUAUAAUAAACCAGUUUCUUCCAAGCCUAAUUAGAAAGUACUGUCUGCAGAAUUCUGCCAUCAAAGCUUAAAACAAAGAUGUUCCACUGUUUUUGCAUAAAAAAACAAACAAGUUUGUGAAACAUGUCAUGCAGAGAUAUGCAUCGGCAAAAGUUGAGUUAACUGCAAGAUCAGUGAGUAGGAGAUCGGAUGGUUCAUUUUGUGUGGAGAGUGCAAAGUCCAAAAACUGUAAUUAUGUUAUAAACUUUGAUGUACCAGAUUGCACAUGUGAAGAUUUUCGGAGAUAUAAAUACCCAUGCAAGCAUUUCUGUGCAAUCUUUAUUUUUUACCCAGAGUGGGGUUUUGAUAAAAUGCCAGAAAGUUAUAAAACUAGUCCAUUAAUCUGUCUUGAUGAAAUGUAUGGGGUGGGCUUUAGAAGUGGCUCUUCAGUAAUUUCAUGUGAAGGCAGUAGUAGUGACGAAGCUGUUGAGGAGGCAGUUGAAGCAGCUGAGGAGGCUGUCGAGGUUGAGGAGGCUGUCGAGGCAGCAAAUACAGAUGGUGUUGUUCAAACCCAGAAUAUUCCUUUGCAGCAGUUUGAAGCAAGGGAGCUGUGUAAACAGAUUUAUAAUCUCACAUACAACUGCAGCAACAGCGAAACAUUACAAAAAGUACUUGAAUCACUGAGCAACUGUGUGCAAGAUUUGCAAUUAGCAAAUCCUGAAGUUGGUGGUCUCCCAUUAGCAGUGCCAUCAACUUCCAAACAAUAGCGAAGAACGAUGCCAAAAGCCUUACAAGAUCUGUCUUAAACACAUUAUAACUUCCCAUUUGAAGGGUAAGAAAUGACAGUUUAUUUGAAUUUUAGAUAGCUCUUUGUCUAUGUAAAAUACAAAUAAGCUCCGUCAUUUCUGAUCUUCGAGAUGGAAUGCUAUGAGGUCUUUAUGUUGGUCUCUGCUUUUAAACUUUGUUGCACAUUUGAAUUUCGAAGUAGCAAUAGAUAAAAUAUUAUAAAAAGGAUAGUUGCUACAUUUGUGUGUGUGUUUGUGAGUGAGCGAGUGUGCGCGUGCGCUUUUGAAAAGGCCCUUGUUGCCCGAAAGAUAAGUCCGACAGUCUUUUUGUUGUGCCUUUCUGUGACUCAGCAUCUUCACCAUUUGGUGAGCAGCAACAACUAUCCUUUUCAUAAUAUUGUUACAUUCCAUCCUUGAUUUUUCGUUGUUCAUCAGAGAAAAGAUUUUUCUGAGGAAUUAAACUAGUUGGUAGUGUAGAACUUGCAAACUUUUUAAAAUAUGAAGUAAAAGAUUUUAACUUUAAAUUAGGUUAAUUCAAAUAUGGGACAAUGUUGAGAAUUGAAAAGGUGGAAAAAAUAAAUAAUGUAUAUCUUAGUGGCAUUGAGAUGUCGUAUGACUGAUGGAGGAAAGAUUUUGCAUUUCUUUUUCCAAGUAAGAAUGCACUUGCUCUCACUUGCUUCAAUACAUGUCUAGUGAUUCACGUGAAACAGAGAAAAGGAUAGACUGCCCUGUUAAUGAACAUGAGAUUGCCCAGUAUCACUCUGACAGAAGAGUAUGGUGUUUCCUUGAUAUGGUAUCUGGUCAGCAAUGUCAUUGGGACCAAAUGAAAGUUACUGCAGAUACCACACAGAAGCAAUUACUGUUACUGGAAUACCAGUAAUGUUUAUUAAAUUCAGUUGUAAAGCAGUUAUGGGCAUUGCAGCUGGUGAGCAAUGUCAUUGGGCACCAUUUUGGAAUUGUGCCUUGAAAACAUGUGUAUCAGUUGCCUUCAUGUUGCAUAACUCAAUUACUUGUUGUUAAUUUAUUUGUUAGGUUCAGUUAUGAUGGAUUUCUGGCCUUCAGUCCAUGGGAAAAUUCACACCAGAUUGCAUCAAGACUGUUAUAUUCCAAGGAUAUCUUGGAAGAUUGAUAGUAUUCCUGAAGGAAAACAAUCCAUAUAGUAUUUCACGUGUGUAUCAAACUCCAUUUGUUGUGGCACAUAAAUGUUUGCAACUUGAUUGUAAUUUUUGAACAGUUUCUCAACAAUCCAAGAAUUUCUUGUAAUGAAAAGUAGACAUUGUUGCUUGGGUAAAGGAAAUACAAAUCACGGUCAAUAUAACUACCUUAUUAACUUUCCACAGAGAAAUAUUUUUCACUACUGCUACUUAAAAAUUCAAAUGUGUGACAAAGUUUGCUUACAGAACUUGGCAUAAAGAUCUCCCUUAUUUGUAUUUUUUAGGUAGCUCUUAUUGUUUGAUCCUUCAAAUGGAAUGCUAUGACCUCCAUGUGAUCUAUUCCUUAGUAGUUAAUUAUCCAUUAAGGCACAAAUAUAUGAACAUUACAAUGAGAGGGGUCUUUAUGCCAGGCCCUGUAAAAGUAAUGGCAUCUUACUUAAUAUUAUUGUUGGGAAUUUGAUGGCACAGCUGUGGGAGACCACAAAUUUCAGGGUUUGCUGCAAAUCUGGCACACAGUUGCUGAGUGAUUCAAGUACUUUUCAUAAUGUUUCACUGUUGAUACAGUUGUUUGUGAGAUUAUAAACCUGUUUGAACAACACCUUCACUUCAAAUUGCUGCAAAGAAAUGGUUAAGGUAUCAGUGUGAUGCUCUAUAUGUGUUUCCUCAACUGUGUCCUCAUUGCUACUGUCUUCAUGUGAAAUUACUGCAGACACUUCUGAAACCAAACCUGUACAUCUUGUGAAGACAGAUUAAUGGGCUAUUCCUGCAGCUUUCUGGUAUUUUAUCAAAACCCUACUCUGGAUAGAAAAUAAAGAUUGCACAGAAAUGCUUGCAUGGGUAUUUAUAUAUCUCAAAAUCUUCACAUGCGCAGUUUGGUAGAGCAAAGCUUACAACAUAAUUAGUCUUUGAACAUUGUACUCUCCAUACAAAACAUUGUCCAACUUCACAUUCACUAAUCUUGCAGUUAAUUCAACUUUCCCUGGUGCAUAUCACUGCAUGACAUGUUUCACAAACUUGCUUUUUUUAUGAAAAAACAGUGGAACAUGUCUGUUAUGAUUUGAUGGCAGAAUUCUGCAGACAGUACUUUCUAGUUAGGCUUGGAAGAAAUUGAUUUCUUAUAUCCCUAGUAGCCCCAUUGAAGGUCUCAUCUGUGUUCCAUUUUAGGAAAAAAGAAUGUUUACAAUCUUGUUCAUGGCGUCAACUCCACUUGUAAUGUCAAUGGUAUCAAAAUUGCCCUUCUCCUCAUAAGCUUCCACUCACUUUUCAUGUACCAAUAGCCACUGCUGUUAAACAUACGGUGAUGCAUAUUCGUUUCUCUGAGAAGCCUCACUCUCUUCUGUAUGAUCUGUAAAUUCUCUGUUGGUGAUUCUGAAAUUUCUUGCCACAUGCCCCGAAAUCUCUUCAUGUCAUUUGGUAUUUAUUCAGCCAUCUUCCUCAAACCUGUUUGACUGAAAAGGCACAAGUAAACUUUUGUCUGAGGAAAUGCUUGAUCAGUUGCGUUUAUCUCAGACUAUAAGAAAUCAGUAACCCAGUAGGUGGGAUUCCAAUCCUUGAAAAUGGCUAGUGCUUCAUGAAUGGAUCUCGCAUUUUCAACUUGAAUGAAAAAGAAAACCAAAUAACCCACAUUACUCUUUACAGCUAUAAAAAAAUAAAGGCAUAUCAUGUGUUGUUGUUUUGUAUGUUGCAUAUAACAACUAUCCCUGUACUUCUUCAAAAGAUCUCUUCGCUAACAGCUCUGAUAGAAAAAAGUGAUGGUUUCACUCCUCCAUUGGCACCUAUACCAUGUUUGUAAUAAAUCAUGUGAUUGCUUUAUUCCUUGUGCCACUCGUCAGCAUGAUUCUGCAAUCGAGUCUCGUCAAACAAUGCUUUAUUUGUACAUUAAAAGGUCCAAUAUGUGUGAAUAUAAUUUUUUUCAGUGGGGUAAAAUGUAGUAUUCAUUAGGCCUGGUAUGUGUGUCCCAGUGAAAUUAUCAAUAAAUGUAUCUAGAGCCAAAUUAUUGGCUGUAUGAUGUCAUUCCAUCGUGCACCUGAAUUUGUAUUUCCUUUACAAGCUAUUGUUAGCAUGUGUGUGUGCUGAUUUGCUGGAGAAGCAGAGAGAUAGUGUUUCAGCUAUCUUUGAGACAGUUAAAGGAGGUGCUUUAGAAAUGAGUGUCCUGAUUGAUAUGAAAAAGUUUUCAAAUUUUCUGUACAAACUAUAAACAGUUCCUCAGUUGGUGAUUGUGGAAGAGAUUGCCAUAGCCACAGUAUUGAUCCACUGUCAGGUGGUAAACCUAAGAUUUCCUUCCAGUAUGAGCCAAGUGAAGUAAAACGGUGGUUGGAGAAAUGUUUUAUAUUCUUAAACUGAGUAUUUGUAACCCAUUAUGGUGGAUUGCAGUUCAUGUGUCAACACUUAAAAAUGUUUAGUU
Schistocerca nitens (vagrant locust) is the source of this 5932-nucleotide long non-coding RNA. RefSeq lists it as uncharacterized. Lineage: Eukaryota; Metazoa; Arthropoda; Insecta; Orthoptera; Acrididae. The transcript is spliced from 6 exons. The record is from RefSeq and is a predicted model, not a curated record.